Molecule: non-coding RNA, 327 nt
Organism: Peromyscus maniculatus bairdii (prairie deer mouse)
Lineage: Eukaryota; Metazoa; Chordata; Mammalia; Rodentia; Cricetidae
Source: RefSeq, a predicted model, not a curated record
UUCAACAGAGUUUCCAGCCAUUUUCUCAAAGUAGGUAUCAAAUGCAAUACAGUUUUCAGAUUCUCACAAAUACAAAAUACAGAAGCUAUUUUAUUACCUUGAAUAUAAGUGCUUAUGAUCUUUAAGUUGGAAGAUGUUCCUGCUAUGGGAGGCACCAUUUCCUGAGUAGAAAAUUUUGGGCCCUAGAAGAUUAAGAGUACUAAGCAGAGAGCAAUGUAUUCAUGGCGUUUUGGCUGACUGAAGAUAUACUUGAAGAUUCUGCUGUCUUGAGAUCUCCAACAUGAAGAUCUUGAACUAGGAGCUAAAUUAAACCAUUUCUCCCUUAUA